UACGUAGGGAGCAAGCGUUAUCCGGAUUUAUUGGGUGUAAAGGGUGCGUAGACGGGAUUACAAGUUGGUUGUGAAACCCCUCAGCUCAACUGAGGAACUGCAACCAAAACUAUAAUUCUUGAGUGCAGGAGAGGAAAGUGGAAUUCCUAGUGUAGCGGUGAAAUGCGUAGAUAUUAGGAAGAACACCGGUGGCGAAGGCGACUUUCUGGACUGUAACUGACGUUGAGGCUCGAAAGCGUGGGGAGCAAACAGG
Molecule: ribosomal RNA, 253 nt
Filed under: uncultured bacterium
Lineage: Bacteria
Description: partial 16S ribosomal RNA
Rfam family: Bacterial small subunit ribosomal RNA
Source: RNAcentral